UCGAGAAUCUUCGGCAAUGGGCGCAAGCCUGACCGAGCGACGCCGCGUGGAGGAUGAAGGCCUUCGGGUUGUAAACUCCUGUCGAGGGGGAAGAAGGCUCGUAAGAGCUUGACUGAUCCCUGGAGGAAGCACGGGCUAAGUUCGUGCCAGCAGCCGCGGUAAGACGAACCGUGCGAACGUUAUUCGGAAUCACUGGGCUUAAAGCGCGUGUAGGCGGGAGGGUACGUCCGUCGCUGAAAUCCCCCGGCUCAACCGGGGAACGGGCGCGGAUACGGCUUUCCUGGAGGAACGUAGGGGGAUCUGGAACUUCCGGUGGAGCGGUGAAAUGCGUUGAGAUCGGAAGGAACGCCCGUGGCGAAAGCGAGAUCCUGGACGUUUUCUGACGCUGAGACGCGAAAGCCAGGGGAGCGAACGGGAUUAGAUACCCCGGUAGUCC
Molecule: ribosomal RNA, 436 nt
Filed under: uncultured bacterium
Lineage: Bacteria
Description: bacterial SSU rRNA
Rfam family: Bacterial small subunit ribosomal RNA
Source: RNAcentral